AUAAAGAUUAUUCUUUUAUUAGAAUA
RNAcentral lists this transfer RNA (26 nucleotides) under Lionepha tuulukwa. RNAcentral's name for it is "partial tRNA-Leu". The record is from RNAcentral. Lineage: Eukaryota; Metazoa; Arthropoda; Insecta; Coleoptera; Carabidae.